Molecule: ribosomal RNA, 446 nt
Filed under: uncultured bacterium
Lineage: Bacteria
Description: partial 16S ribosomal RNA
Rfam family: Bacterial small subunit ribosomal RNA
Source: RNAcentral
CCUACGGGUGGCAGCAGUCGAGAAUCAUUCACAAUGGGGGAAACCCUGAUGGUGCGACGCCGCGUGGGGGAAUGAAGGUCUUCGGAUUGUAAACCCCUGUCAUGUGGGAGCAAAUUAAAAAGAUAGUACCACAAGAGGAAGAGACGGCUAACUCUGUACCAGCAGCCGCGGUAAUACAGAGGUCUCAAGCGGUGUUCGGAAUCACUGGGCGUAAAGGGUGCGGAGGCUGUUUCGUAAGUCGUGUGUGAAAGGCGCGGGCUCAACCCGCGGACGGCACAUGAUACUGCGAGACUAGAGUAAUGGAGGGGGAACCGGAAUUCUCGGUGUAGCAGUGAAAUGCGUAGAUAUCGAGAGGAACACUCGUGGCGAAGGCGGGUUCCUGGACAUUAACUGACGCUGAGGCACGAAGGCCAGGGGAGCGAAAGGGAUUAGAUACCCUAGUAGUC